Long non-coding RNA from Lineus longissimus, 667 nucleotides. RefSeq lists it as uncharacterized. The record is from RefSeq and is a predicted model, not a curated record. The transcript has 2 exons. NCBI's taxonomy places the organism in Eukaryota, Metazoa, Nemertea, Pilidiophora, Heteronemertea, Lineidae.
CAGGAGAAAAGGAAGCUGCAAAAACGAAGAAAAAGACAGGAAAAGCCUUACCGAAACGGCGCCCAUGGUCUGAUGAAGAAGCAGCUGCUGUAAUGUGACACUUUCAGAAGAAUAUAUUGCUAGAGCGACUGCCAGGCAAACUACAAUUUGAGCAAUGCAAGGCCAAGGAGCCGGACUUGAAGACCAGAACCUGGAGAGAUGUCAAGUAUUACAUAAAGAAUAAAGUAACAACAUCAAAACGUGACCGAGAACGAAAAAGAUUGUUUUAAACAAGCUCUGGUGGUGACCAGAUUUAAUUAAUACCGAGCUGGAGGUCCUUGGUUGUAUAAUCACGACCGCUCGGGUAGACCGAAAAUGCAGACUAAAACCCGAGCCAACUGUAAUAAGCUCUAUAAUAUGGUGUCACACAGUACAGAAAGUCGGGGAACCUCGAUAGCUCGGCUGUGGACCGGCAAUCCAAAGAUCUGUUGUUCGAAUCCCAGGCAAGGUAACUUCAUUUUUCUGUACUAAUCUCAUUCCUUCAUUGAUAUGAGCCAAUAUUAGCUACCUGUAUUAGUAAUUCCCAUUAUCCAUCAACUGUGUCCGAAUUUGUGGACGAUUCACCACAAGGUUUUCCCAUGUUUUUUCACUGAUUUGCAGGAAAUAGUGUACAAAUAAGUGAAUUCGA